Molecule: RNA transcript, 5346 nt
Organism: Pygocentrus nattereri (red-bellied piranha)
Lineage: Eukaryota; Metazoa; Chordata; Actinopteri; Characiformes; Serrasalmidae
Gene: usp53b
Gene name: ubiquitin specific peptidase 53b
Exons: 18
Source: RefSeq, a predicted model, not a curated record
CCAAUCCAUCGGUACCGUUAAUCCUAUGCAGACUUUUUAGUGCUCGGAAUCAUUCAUAGCUUAAACCGCUUCCCACAGUAAAAAAACAGGCCACCGACGACGACGUUAAACGGAUCAGCAGCGCAUCCGUGUCUAGAGCAAGCUUGCCGCCCGUGGAUGUAUUUUUUUCUGAGGGAGACUGACGGACUGCGGACACGCUAGCUUCUGUUAUCGAUGUGUUGUGGUUUCUGAUUCAGACUUCGUCUUGUUGCAGUGACCCAAGACUCAGAAAAAAGGGAAAACGGUUUAUCGACAUCCUCUGGACUGUAAUAUUUUCGAUGCUACUAUUUCACGAGCCGCUUUGGAAAUACCGUGCUGCCUUUUCGACACUCGAGGUCAUUCUUUGUGGCCAAUGUACUGACCCUUGGCUCUGAAACGUCCCUAUGGAUGAGUUGCUGAUUGACCUGUGCUGACCCUAUCAGGAAAGCCCUGGAGAAAAUGGAUUUAUCCCACUCUCCAUCUCCCUUCUCCUUUUCCAAUUGCAUGCCAAUGCCAGUGUUUUCCCCCAGGCAGAGACUACACAGCAUGUCCAUUCAAUCUGCGGGAUUAGCAAAGAAACAAUAUGUCACAACCUGUGGCUAGACACCAUGUGCUCGAGAAAAUCUGUAUUAGGCUGGGACGCUUGCAUUUGGGACACUUUCUUCCAUCCCAAUGGUCUGCAGUCAGAUUCUGCUCCCUCUAAAAACUGGUCUUCGUUGUAGCUAUUUCUACCGAUUAGGACUGCACCCAGCACACUGUGGGAUUGUCAUCUCUGUCGGGCACAGGGACUGCUGGGUACAGAUGUGGCCCCAGACAGACAAAGACACUUGCUGUUUCCUUAAUAAGUGACUCCUUCUGACCUCUGGAAAGGGGCGGACUCGUGCCCCAUGGCAUGGGUCAAGCUGUUCAGGAAGCCAGGGACCAGCAGUGUUGGCACAGGGGGACCUGGUGGGACAGGACUGGGGAAGUCUUAUCAGCCAGGCAGCAUGCUCUCGCUGGCCCUCACCAAAGGCCUCCUCAACGAGCCAGGCCAGAACAGCUGCUUCCUAAACAGUGCCGUGCAGGUUUUGUGGCAGCUGGACAUCUUCAGGAGGAGUCUGAGGCAGCUGUCUGCCCACUUCUGUCUGGGCGACGCCUGCAUCUUCUGUGCUUUAAAGAGUAUCUUCAGUCAGUUCCAGCAGAGUCGAGAGCGGGCAUUGCCUUCGGACACCCUGCGGCAUGCGCUGGCCGAGACCUUUAAGGAUGAACAGCGUUUCCAGCUGGGCCUCAUGGAUGACGCUGCCGAAUGCUUUGAGAACAUCCUGGAGAGGAUCCACCUGCACUUGGUGUCCGACUCGGCAGCUGAAAUCUGCACCUCAAAGUCCUGCAUCACACAUCAGAAGUUUGCCAUGACUCUCUAUGAACAGUUUGUGUGCCGGAGUUGCGGAGCAUCAUCAGACCCUCUCCCCUUCACAGAGCUCGUGCACUACGUCUCCACCACGGCCCUCUGCCAACAGGUGGAGCGUGUGCUGGAGAGGACAGACAGGCUGAGGUCUGAUAUGUUUGGGGAACUGCUGCAGGCAGCAAACACCAUCGGAGACCUCCGCAACUGCCCUAGCAACUGUGGGCAGAGUAUUAAGAUCCGCCGUGUUCUGAUGAACUGCCCUGAGAUCGUCACCAUCGGUUUUGUGUGGGACGCAGAACAGUCUGACCUGACCGAAGACGUCAUCCGCUCACUCGGGCCACACCUUAAUCUUUCAGGGCUCUUCUACCGAGUCACUGAUGAAAAUGCCAAAAAAAGAGAUCUUCACCUGGUGGGCAUGAUCUGCUACUCUAGCCGCCAUUACCUAGCCUUCGCCUAUCACAGCAAGUCUUCCAAAUGGGUCUUUUUCGAUGAUGCCACAGUAAAAGAGAUUGGUUCCAAAUGGAAAGACGUAGCAUCCAAAUGUAUCCGGGGUCAUUUCCAGCCACUGCUUCUGUUCUAUGCCAACCCGGAUGGUACCGCUGUAUCCAAUGAGGAUGCCCCCCGACAAACCACCAUGUGGUCCCAAUACAAGUCUCCCCUCAAUGGGGAGGGCACAGUAGCCGACGUUCCGCUCUCAGGGUCAAAGAAACUUGACGGAGUGAGAGAGCCUGCUGGCUCACUGCGGACCAAUCAGGGAUCUCAUAAACAACCACUGCAAUCAGCCAAUCGGCUUAAAGUGCUUCCGGAAAGCCCAGGCAGACUGCGAGAGUCUUCCAGAGAGUCUUCACAGGGAGGAGGAGAGAGACCGAGGAGGGAGAGUGAACGAGGUCAUCGCAGACCAGACUCCUUCCAACACAAAGAUAUGUCAUAUCCCAGAUCAUCCUCUCCCACUGAGAAUGGCCUGCGCUCUCACUCGGACCAGAGGUACCGCACAGCUCCCUCUCGUCCGUCUCGCCCAGAUCGCUCCUCGCUCCACCCGCGUGGGUCACCCCAGGAGUCCCGUACCCUCCCAGAUGCUUCAUGCCGCCGACAUGAUUCUUCAUCUUCUAGCCAAUACGAGACAGCUGAUGUCUCAGACCGUGCAAGGUCCAAGCCGUCAUGGCGUCCCGUGCGGGAAGUCCUGAACGUGGACAGGGUGCUGAAUGAGCUAGAGCGGCGACAGCAACAACAACAACAGCAGCAACAGCAUGGAAGCCCACGCUGCAACCGCAGCCGGCACCUCGGACAGGAGAGGGCACUGCCAGAGCGCAAACAGAAAGGCCUGAUGACGAUCUAUGAGGAUGAGUCACGGCUAGAGACGGAGAGCCGCAGUUCUCAGGAGUCUCAGCGUAGGGCCACACCCAGCAGCUCCACACCACGGCCCAAAGGUGGGGCCAAUGCAGGGCUGAGGGGUGACAAUUGGACGAUCCAGAGGACGGAGUCAGGCUACGAGAGCAGCGAUAGGCUAAGCAGCGGAUCCACCAAUCCUGACUCGCCAGGCGUGGAGAACUUUGCAGGCAAGGAGCUCCGAGUGACUCCAGAGGCUCAGCAGCUCAGGGGUCAAGUUCAUCACACUCGCAACGACUCAAAAACCGAGGCAGUGCGCUCUCCAUUGUGCCACAGUAAACAUUUGUUAAAGGUCCAGGGAAGAAACUCUGACCAUCUUAUAAAGGGCAGCCCAAGUUCAAGGCGGAAGCAGAGAUACUCCUCCUGUGGCUCACGUAAAGGAAGCGGCUUGGAGCGGGACCCCGCUGCUCUGGAGCAGCAGGAGGUGCCAUUUCGGGCUCCCGAGAGUCCGGCGGUUCGGCGAGUGGCCAGGCUGAGUAGCUCAGAGUGCAACAGCUCGGAUGAGACGACCAAUCCUCCAUCUGAGCAGGAGGACAGCGCCUACCGCUCCAGCACUAGCGAGACGGCCCUGCCUGAAUCCCCCCGCCCGGGACGUCCUGCUCGAGAUGAGUCGCCUUUGGCUGCCCGCCCCAAACAAGGCAGGACGCCACCCUUCCGCCCACGCCUCCUGCAGGAGCCCUCACAGACAAGCCCGCGACCAGCCAACCACCGGCGUUUAGACCCCUGGCAGGUCUCAUCCGAUGUUAGCUCUAAGUCUGGCUCAGACCAGGAGAGGGGAGACGCAGGGCAAAGCGAGCUGCUGGAUGACAGGCCUCGAGGCUCAGACCGAGCCUGUGCCUCCGCUUCCAGUUCUGCCCCUCAGGGACCUGGAGUGGCACUCACUACAUACUUCAACGUGGACAACUGCAUGACGGACACAUACAGACUGAAGUACCACCACCAGAGGCCGCUAGUGCUGGUUGUGCCUGAGCAAAGGGGCGGGGGCAGGGGGGCGGAUCACCGAGAGACCAGUCAUUCUGCCCACACAGAUGGCUUGCCUGCCUCGGAGCACGGCAAGAACAGGCCCGAGCCAGGUUCACUGCUGAUAUCACCCACAGCAACACCAAAGAAAUUACCAAAAUUGAUUAUAAAUGUAGACAAAAGGAAUGUCUUAUCACCAGCUUAACUUAACUAACUAAUGAUUGUAGCUAGCUUGCUUAGCUAGCUGCCUAGCUUGUUAGCUGUUAUUUCUAACAUGGUAGUUGAGCCAAUGCCAAUUAAGUCAGUGUUUGCUUGAGGUUCUUGGCUGUUAAUUGAAAGUCAUGAAAUAUAAAAAGAGGAGGUGUUCCCAAGAGUUGUUGGAGUUGCUCUUUAAAAUUUUGUUAUUAGCUUCCUGACACCAAAUUAUAUAUUUUUAGACAGAAAAACACAUACAGUAUUAAAAAAAAAAAAAGCAGCUGCACAUUGUUCUAUGGUUCUCACCAUUUUCCAGAACUUAGCUAUGGUAUGUCAUGUAUAUGUGCUCAAAUGUGCUUGAGUGCUUGAGUCCUGUGCUCAAGUCAGAGACCACCUUUGAUUUCUUAAAUUUCCAGUCAAAAUGACUAUUAAGUACAAGUUAUUCCUCUUUCAGGAAUAACAUCUCUGCAGGGAUAUUUGUCCACAAGUGUUCAAGAUGGUGCUAAAAUGCAUUUGUUGAUAUGCUUUUUUUGUGAAGUUGGUGUGACCUUUCUCACAGUUAGUAUAGGAUAUAUGUUAGCACGCUUCAGCAACUCAUUGACGAACUCAGAAGAUUUAUCAGUAGAUUUAUCAGUAAUCUCUUGUUCGUUUUGGCCAGUAAUGGAUCAGGGGUCAUGCUUUAUUUUUAAGAAUUUUCUCCUGAAGCGCUCUGGUUCUCCAGAGUAUGUGGUAUAUGCAUGUCUGUUAACCAUGUAAUUUAUUUUUGAUUCUUUCUCCACCUUCUCAGGCUCUAGCAGCAAUAAGUCUACUGCAAAGUGGCACCCAGUAACUCCAAAGGGACUUGACGAGCAUGGGUAUUUGUAAAGGUCCUUGGUAUACUGUUGGAAAAUAUGCAGUUUGAAGCUGAGGCCAAAGAAUAAUGGAAAAGAAUGGAUUGUUAUAUAAUUGAUGCCAAAAGAAAAGACUUAUUUUGCAAACGCACAUUGAUUUGGUGGUUUGGCCCAAGUGCAGGUGCGUUUUCUUCAACAGGCACUUAUAGGAGGGCAGUAUGCACUUUGGCUCAUUCAGUGAUCACAUGCAAACCAUGGCUGGCCAUUUCUAUGCUUUAAUUGAAUUUCAACAGGUAAAAUUUGGAAGAAAAGAAAGAAUCAAAGCUCAUUUGCAUUGACAAAGCCAGAAUGGUGAUUGCUUUUCUUUGGCGAUAAUUUUAUCGCAGAAUGGAACUUUGUACGUCUAUAUAGGUUGUUUAUGGAGUGCCUUCUCGCCAGUUGUCAUGCAGAAUAUUGGCAUGACAAUUCAUACAAUACGUAUAUUGUACAAUGAUGUCCUCUGUCUAUUUUUGAAGAUGUCUAUGCAUUUAUUUUUAUUCUUUGUUUAAUAAAUUUUAUUUGAAUGCUCAUGUA